GUGUCAGCCGCCGCGGUAAUACGUAGGGUGCAAGCGUUAUCCGGAAUUAUUGGGCGUAAAGAGCUCGUAGGCGGUUUGUCGCGUCUGCUGUGAACACUGGAGGCUCAACCUCCAGCCUGCAGUGGGUACGGGCAGACUAGAGUGCGGUAGGGGAGAUUGGAAUUCCUGGUGUAGCGGUGGAAUGCGCAGAUAUCAGGAGGAACACCGAUGGCGAAGGCAGAUCUCUGGGCCGUAACUGACGCUGAGGAGCAAAAGCGUGGGGAGCGAACAGGAUUAGAAACCCCCGUAGUCC
RNAcentral lists this ribosomal RNA (292 nucleotides) under uncultured Lysinimonas sp. RNAcentral describes it as "partial 16S ribosomal RNA". It matches the Rfam family "Bacterial small subunit ribosomal RNA", at positions 505 to 796 of the family's 1533-position model. The record is from RNAcentral. Lineage: Bacteria; Bacillati; Actinomycetota; Actinomycetes; Micrococcales; Microbacteriaceae.